This 24-nucleotide non-coding RNA is filed under the name Mus musculus (house mouse). The record is from RNAcentral. Lineage: Eukaryota; Metazoa; Chordata; Mammalia; Rodentia; Muridae.
UCAGUUCAGAUGAGCCACACUCCA